Vicia faba (fava bean) is the source of this 249-nucleotide non-coding RNA. The record is from the annotation of a GenBank genome assembly. Lineage: Eukaryota; Viridiplantae; Streptophyta; Magnoliopsida; Fabales; Fabaceae.
AUGCUGUAUAUAAGUAACAGUGUCAUGUACGUAGUCGGCCAUGAUAUAUCACUCAUCAUGCUAUAUAUAAGUAACAGUGUCAUGUACGUAGUCGGCCAUGAUAGUUUAGUAUUGGUACAAUUGAUAUAUAAUCUAAGUCGACUAGUAUGUAAUCAAUUGCCGAGAUUGAUUUUAGUGUGUAACUGUGUAGUACUAUUACUGCAACAUAUCCAUAUACAUAAAUAUAUGUUGAAGUCUUCUUUCUUUUGA